GAUGAACGCUGGCGGCGUGCCUAAUACAUGCAAGUCGAGCGAACGGACGAGAAGCUUGCUUCUCUGAUGUUAGCGGCGGACGGGUGAGUAACACGUGGAUAACCUACCUAUAAGACUGGGAUAACUUCGGGAAACCGGAGCUAAUACCGGAUAAUAUUUUGAACCGCAUGGUUCAAAAGUGAAAGACGGUCUUGCUGUCACUUAUAGAUGGAUCCGCGCUGCAUUAGCUAGUUGGUAAGGUAACGGCUUACCAAGGCAACGAUGCAUAGCCGACCUGAGAGGGGGAACCGCCACCCCGGAACUUAGACACCGUCCCGACUCCUACGGGAGGCAGCAGGAGGGAAUUCUCCCCAAUGGGCCGAAGCCUGACGGAGCAACCGCGGGGGAGUUAUGAAGGGCCUCCGAUUCUAAAAACCUGUUAUUAGGGAAGAACAUAUUGGUAAGGUACCGGGCACAUCUUGACGGUACCCAAUCAGAAAGCCACGGCUAACUACGUG
RNAcentral lists this ribosomal RNA (497 nucleotides) under uncultured bacterium. Its description in RNAcentral is "partial 16S ribosomal RNA". It matches the Rfam family "Bacterial small subunit ribosomal RNA", at positions 28 to 507 of the family's 1533-position model. The record is from RNAcentral.